This 3734-nucleotide long non-coding RNA is filed under the name Marmota monax (woodchuck). Lineage: Eukaryota; Metazoa; Chordata; Mammalia; Rodentia; Sciuridae. The record is from RNAcentral.
GUCCCACUAGAUAAGCUCAGCACUUGUGGUGUUCAGUAAUAUGUGUUCUCUGACUCUGCAUGUUAGAUCCUGGGGACUGAAUCCUGGGGCCUUGCACAGGCGAGGCAAGCACUGAGCUAAAUGUACAGACCUUUUUGUUUUAUUUUGCCCAGGUUGUCCUCAAACUUGGCAAUUCUCCUGCCUCAGCCUUCUCUGACGAACUGGAAUUACAGGCAUGUACCACUGUACUCAGCUGUUAGAUCUUUUCUAAGUAAGAUCUGUGAAUUAAAAAAUUCAAGUUGGAAAGGGAUGACACAUGAUUUGAGAAUGGCAGGAAGAAACUUUGCCUUGAGGAGGAGGGACAGUACACUGGGGGUAAGUAUACAUGAUUAUGCAGCUGCAGAGGCCUCUGAUCAAGACGUGGCCCCCAAUAUCAAUAACUAAUAAAUAUUAUUAUUCAAUAGCUAAUCAAAGAAAAUCUGAGGGAAUUAAGGCAGCAUGAUGUUAUGCAAAAAAGGUGUGUGCCCCCCCACACACACCUUUCACAGGUCAGCUGUAUUCCUCAAUGCAAAUCCUGUCACUCCUUGUCCCGUUCCAUUUCCACAGAUGUAAAGUGAAUUCUUGCUAGAUGGACCAGACAUUUAAUGGUCAACCACCAGGGCCCAGUUUCCAGGCCCCAGGUGUUGGUGGCUCAUUUACACCUGUUAUUUUGUUAUUUGUUUUCCUCUUUGCCUGUCUUGUCUCUUCUUUACUGUUUUAAUAGCUGUUUUCUGGCAUACCACUCAUUCCUUUAAUGAUUUUUAAUUUUUAAAUUUUAUACUUAGCAGAUGCUAAGUAUUAUAGUAUACAUAUUUCAGUAUCUACUUCAUAUUUAUACUAACAAUUCCAGAAAGAUAGAGAAACUGCCCCAGUAUAGCUCCAGCCACUCCUCUCUCCUUUGUGGCCCUUAUUAACUUUGUCUAUAUGUUACAACUCAACCAUAUCCUGUUAUAUUGUUCUUAUAUAAUCUUGUUCUUAAAACUUUAGAGGAAAGAAUAUAGUUUUGGAGGAGUUCAUUAAUCUUCACAUUUGCCAUUUCUAGUGCUCUUGAUUUCUCUUUCUGUAGAUUUGCAUUAUGUGGCAUAUUACUAAAGAAAACCAGUAUGGUCUCCUUGCUGGGCCUCAUUGACUGCAGGUUGCUGGAACAGAAUCUGCUCUAUGUUCCAUAAGCCAUCUGGCAUUUGUACAGGCCUUGAUAAGGUUCAAAGUGCUUUUGUUGCCCGUGGUUUAUAUCAUGAGACUUGUAAUUCCUUGUGAACACACAAUCAGGCUAAUGUCUUAAGGACCAGGAAACACCCUGAAUUAAUAAAAGGGUGUGCCCUUUCCUCUUCUCUGAGAACCUAAGCUGCUGCUCUGAAACCAGAAUGUUCUUCUGAAACAAUUAUAAUUUCAGAAUAAGUCAUUGGGGUCAAGUGGCACUAACUUGUCCACAUUAGCAAGCAUCUGAGCUUUCUUGGCCGUUCAGUGAUCAAGUUGGUGGGAUUUGGGAAAGGGUGGGAGAAAUAUAUUUCCGUAGAUACCAAUUCUUUCUAAAAACUAGAGAGAAAUAAUGACCAUUCAGUUUUAAAGCUUCCAAGCAUUUACUUACAAAACAGGGCGUACCUAACAUGGUCCAGGACAGCAGGAAUGUAGGAGGGAAGCCCAGCCCUCUGCCUGGGUCCUGAUCUGUUUCAUGGAGACUUUGUAUCAUGAUCCCAGAAUGGGCUUUCUACAGAUUUGCAUUUGUUCCUUGCAACAAAUACUCCUAAGAAGCCUGGAUUCUAAUCUCCUCAGACAGCUCAAGUUUGCAGGGUACACCAGCUGCCCAGGAAAUGGGCCCUCCUUCAGUAUUUCAUUGAGGCAGCUCCCUGAAACUUGGUCACAACAUCAAAGACUAUUCAAAAAGCCCAGGUAGGGUAGGUGGCCCCAGGAAAGAUGAGGGUGAUGGAGUGCAGCCUGCCUACCCAGGACACCUCAGACCCUGGGGGAGUAGUAGGCAGAGGGAGGAGUCCCUGAGAACAGGGAGGAUUCCCCUGCAGCCUCUCUUCAUUACAGACAAUAGAAUUUUUUCCCCUGGGGAUUGAAUCCAGGGCCUGAUACCUGCCAGGCAAGCGCUAUGCCAAUAAGCUACAUCUCCAGCCCUCUUAUUUUUGAGACAGGGUCUCACCAAGUGUCCAGUCUGGCACUGAAUUUGUAGUCCUUCUGCCUCAGCCUCUCAAGUACCUGGAAUUACAGGCAUCUGCCACCAUACCCAGCUCAGCUUACAAAAUUCUAUGGGGACACAAGAACUUACAACAAUGUGAAUAUUCACAAUAUCCAAAAAGUGGAAACAGUUCACACCUCCGGCUAAUGAAUGGAUAAACAAAAUGUGGUCUAUCCAUAUACAAUGGAGUGGCUUUUUAACCAUGGAAUGAUGUACUCAUACAUACGAAGAAACAGUGAACCUUGAAAAUGUGCUAAAUGGUAGAAGCCAGUCGUGAAAGAACACAUUUGACUCCAUUUAUGUGAAAUAUGCAGGAGACUCCAGAGACAGAAAGCAAGUCAGUGGCUGCCACAGCCUGAGACGGGGCGGGAGGCAAUGAAAACAUUCUAAAAUAGGUUAUGGUGAUUUUAGCACAACAUUACGAAUAUACUUCUUUUAAAAACUUUAUUUUUUUUAUGUGGUGCCAAGUGCCUCACACGUGCUAGGCAAGUGCUCUACCACCCUACCACCGAGCAACAACCCCAACUCAUGAAUAUACUUUUUUUUUGGGGGGGAGGGACAGGGAACCAUGAAUAUACUUUUUUAAAAUAUUUUUUUAGUUGUCAAUGGAUUUUUAUUUUAUUUAUGUAUAUGCAGUGCUGAGACUCGAACCCAGUGUCUCACACAUGCUAGGCAAGUGUUCUACAACUGAGCCACAACCUCAGCCCGUGAAUAUACUUUUAAAUUAAAUCUCUAAAUUGUAUACUUAAAAAAUGGUGAAGUAUGUUUUAUCUUAAGAAUAAUUUGAGCUGGGUGCAGUGGAGAAUGCCUGUAAUUUGGGAGGCUGAGACAAGAGGAUCCUGAGUUCAAAGCCAGCCUCAGCAAAAAGUGAGGUACUAAACAACUCAGUGAGACCCUGACUCUAAAUAAAACACAAAAUAGGGCUGGGGAUGUGGCUCAGUGGUCGAGUGGCCCCCAAGUUCAAUACCCAGUACCCUCCAAGAAAGAAUAAUUUGCUGUUACAACACACCCCCCAUGGAGACAGCGCGUCCAAGUAGACACAUAAUUACUGUACCGACAGCAUCAUGGAGUUGGAAGUUUGACUCUCCCACUUUUCCUUUUCCUCAGGCCACCUUCUUUGCACAAUGAGCCAUACACUUGAAGGAUGGGGGUGAGAUCUCCCACAGAAUGCUGAGACCGAGGCUGUGACAGCAGUGAUCUUCGCUGCAAAUCAGAGCGUGAAACUGGCUGAUUCAGGCAGAAGUGGGAUUCAUGAAAGAAUGGUUCUGAGCACAGAGAACUGCUGAGAGGGUGGAGAGCUGGGCACAGACCGACCAGGGGGAGUAGGGGAGGAAAAGUCUGCACCACCUGUCGGACUUCACUUCUGUGGAUUCCCAAGGUCAGAGCGACCGAUGUUCAUCUUUCAACUGAAACAGCACCGGAGGCAACCUUUUAAGAUCUCCUAUUCUCUGUUUUCUACAUUUAUUAUUAUUACUAUUGUUACUAUUAUUACUAUUAUUAUUAUUAAAAAGUCCAAAAGGAGUUUGGGAGAAAG